Molecule: ribosomal RNA, 253 nt
Filed under: uncultured bacterium
Lineage: Bacteria
Description: partial 16S ribosomal RNA
Rfam family: Bacterial small subunit ribosomal RNA
Source: RNAcentral
UACGGGGGAUCCGAGCGUUAUCCGGAUUUAUUGGGUUUAAAGGGUGCGCAGGCGGAAUAUUAAGUCGGCGGUGAAAGUUUGCAGCUUAACUGUAAAAUUGCCGUUGAUACUGGUAUUCUUGAGUGUAUAUGAAGUAGGCGGAAUUUGUAGUGUAGCGGUGAAAUGCAUAGAUAUUACAAGGAACUCCGAUUGCGAAGGCAGCUUACUAAAUUACAACUGACGCUUAGGCACGAAGGCGUGGGUAUCAAACAGG